Molecule: ribosomal RNA, 440 nt
Filed under: uncultured bacterium
Lineage: Bacteria
Description: partial 16S ribosomal RNA
Rfam family: Bacterial small subunit ribosomal RNA
Source: RNAcentral
CCUACGGGGGGCAGCAGUGGGGGAUAUUGCACAAUGGGGGAAACCCUGAUGCAGCGACGCCGCGUGUGGGAAGACGGUCCUCUGGAUUGUAAACCACUUUCCCCAGGGACGAAGAUGACGGUACCUUGGGAGGAAGCUCCUGCUAACUACGUGCCAGCAUCCGCGGUAAUACGUAGGGAGCGAGCGUUGUCCGGAAUUACUGGGUGUAACGGGAGCGUAGGCGGGGAUGCAAGUUGGGUGUCAAAACUACCGGCUCAACUGGUAGUCGCACUCAAAACUGCAGCUCUUGAGUGACAGAGAGGCAGGCGGAAUUCCUAGUGUAGCGGUGAAAUGCGUAGAUAUUAGGAGGAACACCAGUGGCGAAGGCGGCCUGCUGGGCUUUUACUGACGCUGAGGCUCGAAAGUGUGGGGAGCAAACAGGAUUAGAUACCCGUGUAGUC